GUCUACAGCCAUACCACAUCAACCACCUGGAUCUCAUCUGAUCUCAGAAGCUAAGCAGGGUCAGGCCUGGUUAGUACUUGGAUGGGAGAGAUGGUGAAGAACAAAUAAAGUACAAA
RNAcentral lists this ribosomal RNA (116 nucleotides) under Castor canadensis (American beaver). The record is from RNAcentral. Lineage: Eukaryota; Metazoa; Chordata; Mammalia; Rodentia; Castoridae.